AUUGAACGCUGGCGGCAUGCCUUACACAUGCAAGUCGAGCGCGAAAGGGGGCAACCCCGAGUAGAGCGGCGGACGGGUGAGUAACGUAUCGGAACGUGCCCAGUAGUGGGGGACAACCUCGAGAAAUCGAGGCUAAUACCGCAUACGACCCACGGGUGAAAGCGGGGGACCGCAAGGCCUCGCGCUAUUGGAGCGGCCGAUGUCCGAUUAGCUAGUUGGCGGGGUAANAGCCCACCAAGGCGACGAUCGGUAGCUGGUCUGAGAGGACGACCAGCCACACUGGGACUGAGACACGGCCCAGACUCCUACGGGAGGCAGCAGUGGGGAAUUUUGGACAAUGGGGGCAACCCUGAUCCAGCCAUGCCGCGUGCGGGAA
This 376-nucleotide ribosomal RNA is filed under the name uncultured bacterium. Its description in RNAcentral is "bacterial SSU rRNA". It matches the Rfam family "Bacterial small subunit ribosomal RNA", at positions 29 to 409 of the family's 1533-position model. The record is from RNAcentral.